This is a long non-coding RNA of Ictalurus punctatus (channel catfish), 1178 nucleotides long. Lineage: Eukaryota; Metazoa; Chordata; Actinopteri; Siluriformes; Ictaluridae. The record is from Ensembl.
GUGGUGUUGGUGGUGCUGCUGCUAUCGGCUUUUAAAAACAAAAGAAAAAAAAUUAAAUAAAAUCUUCAGUCAAUCCUAGUUCGUAUUUCAUCUCAAUUACCAAAAAGAAACUUUACAGAAAGUACUCACAUUGCUGCUCAAAACUCAGGGUGGUGUCAUUGAUCACUUGAGGAAGGAAGGAGAAAACAGACAGUUAAUGUGUUGCACCAAAGACCAACAACACACAAAAACGUUAACUGGUUGCUCAGACUGCUGCACUUGCACGUAUCUCCAUAAUUAAAGGAGCAACGACGCAUUAAUCUGCACGUGCAUCAGUGUGAGAAUAUGAUUGGCCAGCUGUUUUCUGAUCUCGUCAAAGCUCUGAUUUAUACUUCUGUGCGAUCGUAUCGGUGAGCAUGUCAAAAUGCUGUGUCCAGAUGCUCAAAAAGCGUCAAGUCUUUAUACGGUUACGAAAAAUACUUUAUUAUAUAUAAUAUACAUAAUAUGAACAAAAAAAGUCCUGUUAAAAAAAAACUAAAUUGAUUACCUGUGAGAUGCAGAAAUGUGCGACGUCUGUUACAAAACUAAUUUUAUGAAAAUCUGCUGAACAUAGAUGGAGUUUAAGAGCUUUCUCUCUAUAUAAACCUGCACUAGUUUAGCACCAUACGGAGGUAGCUAGCAAGAGCGUAAAACCACAGGUCUAUGUUAAUGUACUCGUUCAAAUACUUUAUCGUUUCUAUAGGAACAGCUCAUUAACAAGGAUUUGUAAAGCGGAUGCUUCACAAACAGAUUAAAAACGUGUAACGAUGUGGUGAAGUUUAUUUAAAGAUGUCAUGAUUUUUUAAAAAGUUAAUCAUUCUGUUUAUUGGGUGUAAUGGAAUAGAUUAACAUGCUUUAAUGUUCAAAACACCACCCCCAACAUACUGUACAUUACUGCAGUACAUCUAUUCCCAGUAUUCCUGUAACACUCCGACUGAGUUCGGGUUUCUCCAAAGCCCCGCCUUUCUGAAAAGCCUAGAGUGCUCUUAUUGGCCAGCUGAACCACUGCGUUGUGAUGAGCCAAAAACCUCAAGCGUGUGUUGGAAAUGUAAACACCACAUACUAUAAUCGCAAGCUUCAGCUUCCAAGGCAUCUGAAGUCAUUAUAAAUACAGUUAAUAAUGUCUGAGGUUUUACCGGAUCAGUUCGAGUCAGAUUCAG